AUUAGAUUAGCUUCCUUUUUUUUUUGUCAUCUGAUUUUUAUUAAAACUUCAAGAUAGGAUACAAGGUGAAAUACUUAAGCCGGCGGAAAACAAAGAUUACCCCAGAGUCUAAAGCCCAAAAGAGGGAAGCUAAGCCGGCGGACAAAGGAAAAGUCCCCGGAGACAGAGUCGGAGAAAAAAAAGAAUUCCCCCAAAUCUAAGUCUACGCUAAAAACAACAUAAACUUUUAAAGCCGAAAUCGAAUGAGAACGAAACCAAAAACUAAGAAAAGAAGCAAACUAAAAA
Molecule: long non-coding RNA, 285 nt
Filed under: Arabidopsis lyrata
Lineage: Eukaryota; Viridiplantae; Streptophyta; Magnoliopsida; Brassicales; Brassicaceae
Description: long non-coding RNA (ALYR_LNC001732)
Source: RNAcentral